RNAcentral lists this ribosomal RNA (432 nucleotides) under uncultured bacterium. RNAcentral describes it as "partial 16S ribosomal RNA". It matches the Rfam family "Bacterial small subunit ribosomal RNA", at positions 29 to 506 of the family's 1533-position model. The record is from RNAcentral.
CACGAACGCUGGCGGCAUGCCUAACACAUGCAAGUCGAACGAGACCUUCGGGUCUAGUGGCGCACGGGUGCGUAACGCGUGGGAACCUGCCCUUAGGUUCGGAAUAACUCCCCGAAAGGGGUGCUAAUACCGGAUAAUGUCUUCGGACCAAAGAUUUAUCGCCUUUGGAUGGGCCCGCGUUGGAUUAGCUAGUUGGUAGGGUAAAAGCCUACCAAGGCGACGAUCCAUAGCUGGUCUGAGAGGAUGAUCAGCCACACUGGGACUGAGACACGGCCCAGACUCCUACGGGAGGCAGCAGUGGGGAAUAUGGAACAAGGGGCGAAAGCCUGAUCCAGCAAUGCCGCGUGAGUGAUGAAGGCUUUAGGGUUGUAAAGCUCUUUUACCCGGGAUGAUAAUGACAGUACCGGGAGAAUAAGCGCCGGCUAACUCCGU